Molecule: ribosomal RNA, 751 nt
Filed under: Calomera angulata
Lineage: Eukaryota; Metazoa; Arthropoda; Insecta; Coleoptera; Carabidae
Description: partial 16S ribosomal RNA
Rfam family: Bacterial large subunit ribosomal RNA (bases 1-542)
Source: RNAcentral
GAGGAUUUAAAUGGCCGCAGUAUUUUGACUGUGCAAAGGUAGCAUAAUUAUUAGUUUUUUAAUUGAAAGCUUGUAUGAAGGGUUGGACGAGAUAAAAUCUGUCUUUAUUUAAAUUAAAGUAGAAUUUAACUUUUAAGUCAAAAGGCUUAAAUGUUAGUAAAAGACGAGAAGACCCUAUAGAUCUUUAUUUAAUUAAUACUUUAAUAAUUUAGGAUUAAUUUAGUUUAAAGUUUUAAUUAAAUUUUAUUGGGGUAAUAUAAAGAUUAAAUAAAUUCUUUUUAUUUAUUACAUUGAUUUAUGAAUAAAUGAUCCAAUAUUAUUGAUUAUAAGAUUAAGUUACCUUAGGGAUAACAGCGUAAUUUUUUUUGGAGAGCUCAUAUCGAUAAAAAAGUUUGCGACCUCGAUGUUGGAUUAAAAAUUAGCUUGGGUGCAGAAGUUCAAGAAUUUGGUCUGUUCGACCAUUAAAUUUUUACAUGAUCUGAGUUCAGACCGGCGUAAGCCAGGUCGGUUUCUAUCUUUAUUUAAUUAAAAUAUUUUAGUACGAAAGGACCAAAUAUUUAAUAUAUUUAUAUUUAUUUUUUGAAUAAUAUUAUUACUUUGGCAGAUUAGUGCAAUGAAUUUAGAAUUCAUGAAUGUAAUUUUAUUACAAGUAAUACUUGUAUUUAGGAGAUUUAUUAUUAAUAGUUUUGUGUAUACUAAUUCUCGUGAUUUGUGUUUUGGUGGGGGUAGCUUUUUUAACAUUAUUAGAGCG